Long non-coding RNA from Manis pentadactyla (Chinese pangolin), 1701 nucleotides. RefSeq lists it as uncharacterized. Lineage: Eukaryota; Metazoa; Chordata; Mammalia; Pholidota; Manidae. The record is from RefSeq and is a predicted model, not a curated record. The transcript is spliced from 2 exons.
UGGGAGCAGAUAGAAUCAGUGGUGGUUUGCUGUAAAAGAUACUGCUUUCUGUAACACUUAACCACCACAUUAACAGGCCAGAUGAGAAAGCCAAAGCUGAUUUGUGUCAUUUCAAAUUAACUGUAAUUUCAGCGGAACGCUAAUGCACAAGCAUGUUAUUUUGUAUGAUUAUUAACUUGCCUUUUAACUCUUGGGACAUAUUUUACUUCAUCUUGUGACACUUGAUAUUUGUUAGGAAAUUAUGAGUAGUUGUGCAAGUAUUUAAAUUAUAGUAGAACUCUGCCUUUUAUUGCAUGGAUGUAACUGUACUAGAAGAGUCAAAUGUUUAGUAAAACAUACCUUUAUACAUUUUGAAAAAAUGAAAAGAGUAUAAAAGAUUUGGUUUUUGAUUGUCUACUAUCUGACAGAUUUUAAAUAUGAAUGUUUUCCUUGGGCAAAUGGCUUAAUUUUCACCAUAUCUGGAAAACACUGAAACACACAAAUUAAUUUUUUCCCUAAACUUAACAAUUAUGCCAAUAGUUAUUAGGCAUUAUGUAAAAAAUAAAAACAUCCCAAGUGUAUACAAAUGUUACAAUCUUAAGGAAAUUUAAAAUCGUUACUGACAACAAAAUUAAUGGCAUAAUGUACAGCUAUCACUAUAAUUAGUAAAAGCCUGAUUUGAUAUAAGCUGUCUAUUGAUCAAGUGCUUAUAUCCUAUCCACUAUACAGCUUGGGAGUUAGGAGAGCUGACCCCCUGCACAAUUGAAAAUUGGCAUAUAACUUGACUUCUCCAAAACUUAACACCCUACUUUUGACUUCUUAGAAGCCUUACCAGUAACAUAAAUAGUCAAUUAGUACAUGUUUUGUAUGUUAUACUAUUUAUAGAUUGUAUUCUUAAAUAAAAUAAAAAAGAAAAAAGAAAAUAUUAAGAAAAUCAUAAGAAAAAUACAUUUACAGUACUGUCCAGUAUUUCUUUUAAGAAUCUAUGUGUAAGUGGACCUGCAAAGUUCAAACCCUUAUUUUUCAAGGGUCAACUUUACUUAAUCAUAAUGCUAGGUAACUUUUAAGGGCAGUGUUUAAACAGGAAGAGAGAGAUCAUUGUAAGUUUUGCUCUAAGAUAAAAACUGCAACUAUUUAUAUUUGUGGAAUUUUGAGUGUUAAAUGAGUGGAUAUCUUUCACUGUCAAGGCUAAGUCUGUACAGAGACAGGUUACUGACCAUGCUUAGAAUAAAAGAUCUCUUUGAGAACCUAAUGGAAUGCUGUAGAUCUUUUCUCCAGAAAAGCACCUAUUGCAUUUUUUAAAAACUAAAUGGCCAAUGGUAUGUUUUGAUUGCCAUCAAAUGGAGAUGGGAUGCGGGAAAAUACUGGUCCUGUAAAAGUACUCCUUUCUCCUUUAGCGGCAUGCUCAUUCAACUCUUAUCUUUACAUUCCAGUAAGUUAUUUUGCUCUCACUGCUUAACAGCAAUGAUGACAAAAAAACAUAAAAAUCCUUGUAUACCUUAUUCAAUUGAAGAUUUUUUAUCUUUUUUAUUUAUCAUUAUAAAACCAAGAACAACUUUUAAACUUUUUGUACAUAGCUAUUAUUACAUGUAGGGCAAUCUCUCUUUAAAUAGGGAUAAAUUACUCCAAAAGAAAUGAGUCCUAGGUAGUUUUCCCUUCAAGUCAAGCAUCUUGUUGAAAUAAACUGCCUACUUAAAAAAAAAAAGUGUUCAUGCAGUUAUG